Long non-coding RNA from Zingiber officinale, 804 nucleotides. RefSeq lists it as uncharacterized. The transcript has 2 exons. The record is from RefSeq and is a predicted model, not a curated record. Lineage: Eukaryota; Viridiplantae; Streptophyta; Magnoliopsida; Zingiberales; Zingiberaceae.
UGAGAACCCAAACCCAUUGACCCUCUCCCCUUUCUUGCCCAAAAUUGCCGACCCUCUCCCUUCUUCUCGUCAACUCCGUCACACGCGGCGGAGCUCAGCGCACGUCUCUGAGGCCGACCAGGCGCCACCACACACGCGGGCGACUCAGUUGAAGGGGUCAUGACCGGGCGCGGAGGUCCCCAGCCAGCUGCGGGGGGCGCAUAGCUGCGGAGCGAGGGCUUUGGUCGGAGAAACAAGAAGAGAAGGCAAGUUCAUUUCCAAUUGCUGGUAUGAAAUCGUAGAGAUAGCAGUUGUUGCUCGAUUUGAGGAUUCAUUUGGCUACAUAUGAUGUUUGUGGAUUGCGGACAAAAUUGGCUAGGUUUGAAUAGGUUGUGAGUUAAUCUCAGGUGAUGCUCCUGCUAUGGUUUGUUUCAUAAAGAUUGACUUGGAAACUUUGGUAAUUUUUUUUAUGGAUUUGAAUGGUAUCAUUUUGCUAUGCUCUCGGUUCUUCUUGUAAAUCCUGGACAGAAUUACCAUAGUGAUGGUUAGGAGGUGAUCAAAGAGGUUCUUGUCUCUUCUAUGGGGAAGGCUUACGUUUUGUUACUGGUUGUGGCUUCCAAAAUUUUUGGCGUCGAAAGGGAAAAUUGUCGGGAUUCUUGUAGUUCAUGAAUAGGUGCUAUCGUGAGAAAUUUCUUCUUACAUUUCUGUUCACUUAUAUGUGCAUGCUGGUGGUAUUGCCGUAUUCAGAUUUUGUAAAAUGAAGUAGGGUGGCUUAAUUUGUUCAGUUUCUCUUAUUGUUAUUAUCUCUGUAGAUGUUUAUCUCAU